Molecule: ribosomal RNA, 253 nt
Filed under: uncultured bacterium
Lineage: Bacteria
Description: partial 16S ribosomal RNA
Rfam family: Bacterial small subunit ribosomal RNA
Source: RNAcentral
GACGGAGGAUGCAAGCGUUAUCCGGAAUGAUUGGGCGUAAAGCGUCCGCAGGUGGCAGUUCAAGUCUGCUGUCAAAGACCGGGGCUUAACUUCGGAAAGGCAGUGGAAACUGAACAGCUAGAGUAUGGUAGGGGCAGAGGGAAUUCCUGGUGUAGCGGUGAAAUGCGUAGAGAUCAGGAAGAACAUCGGUGGCGAAGGCGCUCUACUGGACCACAACUGACACUCAGGGACGAAAGCUAGGGGAGCGAAUGGG